This 490-nucleotide ribosomal RNA is filed under the name uncultured bacterium. RNAcentral describes it as "partial 16S ribosomal RNA". It matches the Rfam family "Bacterial small subunit ribosomal RNA", at positions 30 to 507 of the family's 1533-position model. The record is from RNAcentral.
AUUGAACGCUGGCGGCAGGCCUAACACAUGCAAGUCGAAUGGUAACAGGAAACAGCUUGCUGUUUCGCUGACGAGUGGCGGACGUGUGAGUAAUGUCUGGGAAACUGCCUGAUGGAGGGGGAUAACUACUGGAAACGGUAGCUAAUACCGCAUAACGUCGCAAGACCAAAGAGGGGGACCUUCGGGCCUCUUGCCAUCAGAUGUGCCCAGAUGGGAUUAGCUAGUAGGUGGGGUAACGGCUCACCUAGGCGACGAUCCCUAGCUGGUCUGAGAGGAUGACCAGCCACACUGGAACUGAGACACGGUCCAGACUCCUACGGGAGGCAGCAGUGGGGAAUAUUGAACAAUGGGCGCAAGCCUGAUGCAGCCAUGCCGCGUGUAUGAAGAAGGCCUUCGGGUUGUAAAGUACUUUCAGCGGGGAGGAAGGGAGUAAAGUUAAUACCUUUGCUCAUUGACGUUACCCGCAGAAGAAGCACCGGCUAACUCCGUG